CCUACGGGCGGCAGCAGUGGGGGAUAUUGCACAAUGGGGGAAACCCUGAUGCAGCGACGCCGCGUGGGUGAAGAAGCGCCUCGGCGCGUAAAGCCCUGUCAGCAGGGAAGAAAAUGACGGUACCUGAAGCAGAAGCCCCGGCUAACUACGUGCCAGCAGCCGCGGGAAUACGUAGGGGGCAAGCGUUAUCCGGAUUUACGGGGUGUAAAGGGGGCGCAGACGGCGAUGCAAGCCAGGAGGGAAAGCCCGGGGGCGAACCCCGGGACUGCUCUUGGAACUGCGUGGCUAGAGUGCAGGAGGGGCAGGCGGAAUUCCUGGUGUAGCGGUGAAAUGCGUAGAUAUCAGGAGGAACACCGGUUGCGAAGGCGGCCUGCUGGACUGCAACUGACGUUGAGGCCCGAAAGCGUGGGGAGCGAACAGGAUUAGAUACCCUGGUAGUC
This 440-nucleotide ribosomal RNA is filed under the name uncultured bacterium. RNAcentral's name for it is "partial 16S ribosomal RNA". It matches the Rfam family "Bacterial small subunit ribosomal RNA", at positions 338 to 795 of the family's 1533-position model. The record is from RNAcentral.